AUUGAACGCUGGCGGCAGGCCUAACACAUGCGAGUCGAGCGGACGAAGGGAGCUUGCUCCUGGAUUCAGCGGCGGACGGGCGAGUAAUGCAUAGGAAUCUGCCUGGCAGUGGGGGAUAACGUCCGGAAACGGGCGCUAAUACCGCAUACGUCCUGAGGGUGAAAGUGGGGGAUCUUCGGACCUCACGCGAUCUGAUGAGCCUAGGUCGGAUUAGCUAGUUGGUGGGGUAAAGGCCUACCAAGGCGACGAUCCGUAACUGGUCUGAGAGGAUGAUCAGUCACACUGGAACUGAGACACGGUCCAGACUCCUACGGGAGGCAGCAGUGGGGAAUAUUGGACAAUGGGCGAAAGCCUGAUCCAGCCAUGCCGCGUGUGUGAAGAAGGUCUUCGGAUUGUAAAGCACUUUAAGUUGGGAAGAAGGGCAGUAAGUUAAUACCUUGCUGUUUUGACGUUACCAACAGAAUAAGCACCGGCUAACUUCGUG
RNAcentral lists this ribosomal RNA (484 nucleotides) under uncultured bacterium. RNAcentral's name for it is "partial 16S ribosomal RNA". It matches the Rfam family "Bacterial small subunit ribosomal RNA", at positions 30 to 507 of the family's 1533-position model. The record is from RNAcentral.